CAGUCGCCACGGUAAUACGUAGGUGGCAAGCGUUGUCCGGAAUUAUUGGGCGUAAAGGGCUCGCAGGCGGUUUCUUAAGUCUGAUGUGAAAGCCCCCGGCUCAACCGGGGAGGGUCAUUGGAAACUGGGAGACUUGAGUGCAGAAGAGGAGAGUGGAAUUCCACGUGUAGCGGUGAAAUGCGUAGAGAUGUGGAGGAACACCAGUGGCGAAGGCGACUCUCUGGUCUGUAACUGACGCUGAGGAGCGAAAGCGUGGGGAGCGAACAGGAUUAGAUACCCCGGUAGUCCCUGUCUCUUAUAC
This 301-nucleotide ribosomal RNA is filed under the name uncultured bacterium. Its description in RNAcentral is "partial 16S ribosomal RNA". It matches the Rfam family "Bacterial small subunit ribosomal RNA", at positions 509 to 807 of the family's 1533-position model. The record is from RNAcentral.